GUGGGGAAUAUUGGACAAUGGGCGAAAGCCUGAUCCAGCCAUGCCGCGUGUGUGAAGAAAGUCUUCGGAUUGUAAAGCACUUUAAGUUGGGAGGAAGGGCAGUAAGUUAAUACCUUGCUGUUUUGACGUUACCGACAGAAUAAGCACCGGCUAACUUCGUGCCAGCAGCCGCGGUAAUACGAAGGGUGCAAGCGUUAACUGGAAUUACUGGGCGGAAAGCGCGCGUAGGUGGUUCAGCAAGUUGGAGGUGAAAUCCCCGGGCUCAACCUGGGAACUGCCUCCAAAACUACUGAGCUAGAGUACGGUAGAGGGUAGUGGAAUUUCCUGUGUAGCGGUGAAAUGCGUAGAUAUAGGAAGGAACACCAGUGGCGAAGGCGACUACCUGGACUGAUACUGACACUGAGGUGCGAAAGCGUGGGGAGCAAACAGGAUUAGAAACCCGAGCAGUCC
Molecule: ribosomal RNA, 450 nt
Filed under: uncultured bacterium
Lineage: Bacteria
Description: bacterial SSU rRNA
Rfam family: Bacterial small subunit ribosomal RNA
Source: RNAcentral